CCUGCCCAGUGAAUUUUAAACGGCCGCGGUACUCUGACCGUGCAAAGGUAGCAUAAUCAUUUGCCUUAUAAUUGAAGGCUGGAAUGAAUGGUUUGACAAGAAUACAUCUGUCUCUUUUUGAUUUCCUAGAAUUUUAUUUUUGGAUGAAAAAGUCCAGAUUUAAUUAAAAGACAAGAAGACCCUAUCGAGCUUUAGAAAAAUUGACGGAUUUAUUAUCCUCUAUAGUAAUAAAAGAAAAGCCGUUAAGUAUACUUUGGUUGGGGCAACCGAGGAGCAGAUAAAGCCUCCUCUAAAUUUUAAGACUUACUUGUGUUGAUCCAAAAGUUUUGAUCAAAGGAAUUAGUUACCGUAGGGAUAACAGCAUUAUCUUUUUCAAGAGCCCAUAUCGAAAAAAAGGUUUGUGACCUCGAUGUUGGACCAGAAUAUCCUAAAGAUG
RNAcentral lists this ribosomal RNA (436 nucleotides) under Conus mus. Its description in RNAcentral is "partial 16S ribosomal RNA". It matches the Rfam family "Bacterial large subunit ribosomal RNA", at positions 1858 to 2555 of the family's 2925-position model. Lineage: Eukaryota; Metazoa; Mollusca; Gastropoda; Neogastropoda; Conidae. The record is from RNAcentral.